This 301-nucleotide ribosomal RNA is filed under the name uncultured bacterium. Its description in RNAcentral is "partial 16S ribosomal RNA". It matches the Rfam family "Bacterial small subunit ribosomal RNA", at positions 509 to 807 of the family's 1533-position model. The record is from RNAcentral.
CAGCAGCCGCGGGAAAACGAAGGGGGCUAGCGUUGUUCGGAUUUACUGGGCGUAAAGCGCACGUAGGCGGAUCGAUCAGUCAGGGGUGAAAUCCUGGAGCUCAACUCCAGAACCGCCUUUGAUACUGUCGAUCUCGAGUCCGGAAGAGGUGAGUGGAACUCCUAGUGUAGAGGUGGAAUUCGUAGAUAUUAGGAAGAACACCAGUGGCGAAGGCGGCUCACUGGUCCGGUACUGACGCUGAGGUGCGAAAGCGUGGGGAGCAAACAGGAUUAGAUACCCGCGUAGUCCCUGUCUCUUAUAC